GGCCCCUUGGUCAAGCGGUUAAGACACCACCCUUUCACGGUGGUAACAGGAGUUCGAUUCUCCUAGGGGUCA
This is a transfer RNA of Clostridium cellulovorans 743B, 72 nucleotides long. It matches the Rfam family "tRNA". From Rfam's summary of the family: Transfer RNA (tRNA) molecules are approximately 80 nucleotides in length. Their secondary structure includes four short double-helical elements and three loops (D, anti-codon, and T loops). The record is from Rfam. Lineage: Bacteria; Bacillati; Bacillota; Clostridia; Eubacteriales; Clostridiaceae.